This 343-nucleotide small RNA is filed under the name Arabidopsis thaliana (thale cress). Its description in RNAcentral is "ATSL169550". The record is from RNAcentral. Lineage: Eukaryota; Viridiplantae; Streptophyta; Magnoliopsida; Brassicales; Brassicaceae.
UGGUGCGAAAGCAACAUGACAAGUUUGAACUUCAAAUGAAAUGUCAGCACAAAUGGAGAUGACUUGACAAGAGCAUGAGUAGACAAAGCAAGAUCACUUGGAUGUAGAUAGUAGCAUCUCUUCACCAUAAAAUCAGUCUUUAGUGUGACAACUUUUCAGGUUCUUUUGACCUAUUUGUCUCACGAAGAAACCGAGUUUUCUUUAUCUGGUUUAACUCCCCUAAGCUGUCCCAUGAAGAAGAAGAAUUCUCUUCCCACAACUACUUAGAUCCUACUUGCUAUCUGCUUUUUAUUCUUUAGCCAACCACAAUUUGCAUUUACACAAUCUGUUUUUCUCUUUGACA